GUGGGGAAUAUUGGACAAUGGGCGAAAGCCUGAUCCAGCCAUGCCGCGUGUGUGAAGAAGGUCUUCGGAUUGUAAAGCACUUUAAGUUGGGAGGAAGGGCAGUAAGUUAAUACCUUGCUGUUUUGACGUUACCGACAGAAUAAGCACCGGCUAACUUCGUGCCAGCAGCCGCGGUAAUACGAAGGGUGCAAGCGUUAAUCGGAAUUACUGGGCGUAAAGCGCGCGUAGGUGGUUUUGUAAGUUGGAGGUGAAAUCCCCGGGCUCAACCUGGGAACUGCAUCCAAAACUGCAUGACUAGAGUACGGUAGGGGGUAGUGGAAUUUCCUGUGUAGCGGUGAAAGGCGUAGAUAUAGGAAGGAACACCAGUGGCGAAGGCGACUACCUGGACUGAUACUGACACUGAGGUGCGAAAGCGUGGGGAGCAAACAGGAUUAGAUACCCGAGUAGUCC
This 450-nucleotide ribosomal RNA is filed under the name uncultured bacterium. RNAcentral describes it as "bacterial SSU rRNA". It matches the Rfam family "Bacterial small subunit ribosomal RNA", at positions 354 to 796 of the family's 1533-position model. The record is from RNAcentral.